CAGCAGCCGCGGGAAUACGAAGGGGGCUAGCGUUGCUCGGAAUGACUGGGCGUAAAGGGCGUGUAGGCGGUUUUGACAGUCAGAUGUGAAAUUCCUGGGCUUAACCUGGGGGCUGCACUUGAGACGUUAAGACUAGAGUGUGAGAGAGGGUUGUGGAAUUCCCAGUGUAGAGGUGAAAUUCGUAGAUAUUGGGAAGAACACCGGUGGCGAAGGCGGCAACCUGGCUCAUUACUGACGCUGAGGCGCGAAAGCGUGGGGAGCAAACAGGAUUAGAUACCCCCGUAGUCCCUGUCUCUUAUAC
This 301-nucleotide ribosomal RNA is filed under the name uncultured bacterium. RNAcentral's name for it is "partial 16S ribosomal RNA". It matches the Rfam family "Bacterial small subunit ribosomal RNA", at positions 509 to 807 of the family's 1533-position model. The record is from RNAcentral.